This is a long non-coding RNA of Oreochromis niloticus (Nile tilapia), 1590 nucleotides long. The record is from Ensembl. NCBI's taxonomy places the organism in Eukaryota, Metazoa, Chordata, Actinopteri, Cichliformes, Cichlidae.
AUGCCUGACAGAAUGACACGACCCGUGCCAAGAAGACACGCUUUUGACCCAGUGGACUCGGACCUUUUUGAGCGGCAGGAGGCAGCGCUCUACUUGUGGGCGGAAAAGCUUAAGGAGAGACAGCGGCUCUUCGCGGAGCGAGAGCACGUCUUCGAGGGUACUCGCUUGGCUCUGGACGGGCCUUGGAGACGCCGCGUUCACCCACCUUCUAACUUCCCUGCACCAGAGCAUCUGCCGGGAAGAGUGGGCGUUUCGCGCCGCACUUCGGCGGCUCCCUCUCCCACGGGUCCGCUCCUCGCUCACACGCCACCUGCCUCAUUCACCAGACCUUCAACCUCGCCAUGGCACAGCGGCUCCGCCUCCCACCUCAGCUCAACGGAGGCUCCCGUGCCAGAGGCUCGGCUGUGUACCCCGCCCACUGUCUCUUCCCGGAGAAAGCAUCGCACACGCCGCCAUAACAUGGACCAUUUUCAGCAACUCCCAGUGGUGAGUUCCAGUGACUGUUUUCCACCCUCUCCAUUUAAUUUUUCACCUAAAAUAAAUAAUAGACUCAUUUCUGAUUCAUGGGGAGUUUCCCUUCUAGACGAUGAUGUGGACUGGGAAGUAUUUUUCUGCUCUGCUCCCCCAAAGACUGUUCAGUUAAAGACUGUAAAUAGUGGUGGCAGAAGGACCAGAAUAAUCCCUGAUAAACCUGUCAGUAUCACACACCCAGUCACUAUUUCCACCCCUGUCAGUCAGCCUACACCCAUCACUCAGCCAUUUCCUGCCAGCACGGCGGCCUGGAUUCGGCCUUCUUCUUCGACUGUUUCACCUUCUCAGGUGAAGACAGCUACGGCUCAGCCUGUCCCUACAGCACCACCUCAGAUGGCUAGGGCCCAGCCAGCAACCUCUCCUGUGCCAGCUCCCAGGACGAGGGCAGCUGUGACCCAGUCCACCUCCACACCCGCUCCUGUUUCUCGGGUGGGGGUGCUAGCUGACCUGUCCGCUGCUCAGGCACCAGCUUUACUAUCCCAGGCUGUAUCUCAGCCAUUAGUCACACCAACCUCAGCUCAGUCGUUAGCCUUGCCAACCUCGGUUCAUCCCUUAGCUUCCCCAGUCCAGUCAGUUUACACGCCUGCUUUUCAGCUUCCAGCCCAGUCAAUCCAGUCCCCUGUAGGUCAGUCUCCUCCUGUCCUCCAGUCCCCUGUGGUUCAGUCUCCUCCUGUCCUCCAGUCUCCUCCUGUCCUCCAGUUCCCUGUAGUUCAGUCUCCUCCUUUCCUCCAGUUCCCUGUAGUUCAGUCUCCUCCUGUCCUCCAGUUCCCUGUAGUUCAGUCUCCUCCUGUCCUCCAGGCCCCUGUAGCUCAGUCUCCUGUCCUCCAGCCUGUCCAGUCUGUUGUCCAGUCUUCUGUAGUCCAGUCAGUUCAGUCUGUCAUUCAGUAUCCUGUAGUUCAGUCGCCUGUUGCCCAAUCUAUUCAGUCUCUGGUCCAGUCAUUCAUUCUCCAUCCUGUUCAGUUUCCUGACCUGCAGCCACAGCAUCCAGAGGUAGCUGUGAGCUCGGCCGCUUCUCAGCCAGGGGUUUCCGCAUCCGCUGACCCGGCCGCUUCUCAGCCA